This 253-nucleotide ribosomal RNA is filed under the name uncultured bacterium. RNAcentral describes it as "partial 16S ribosomal RNA". It matches the Rfam family "Bacterial small subunit ribosomal RNA", at positions 524 to 776 of the family's 1533-position model. The record is from RNAcentral.
UACGAAGGGGGCUAGCGUUGCUCGGAAUCACUGGGCGUAAAGCGCACGUAGGCGGAUUGUUAAGUCAGGGGUGAAAUCCUGGAGCUCAACUCCAGAACUGCCUUUGAUACUGGCGAUCUCGAGUCCGGGAGAGGUGAGUGGAACUGCGAGUGUAGAGGUGAAAUUCGUAGAUAUUCGCAAGAACACCAGUGGCGAAGGCGGCUCACUGGCCCGGUACUGACGCUGAGGUGCGAAGGCCAGGGGAGCAAACGGG